This is a non-coding RNA of Sus scrofa (pig), 2855 nucleotides long. NCBI's taxonomy places the organism in Eukaryota, Metazoa, Chordata, Mammalia, Artiodactyla, Suidae. The record is from RefSeq and is a predicted model, not a curated record.
UCAGUGGUCGUAUUUCCGGUAACGGCGGCGGGAAGCGGUCUACAGGCGGGCGUCUAGGCCUCUACCGAGGCGAAUCCGGCGGGAAUCGGAGCCAUCAGAACCGCCACCAUGACUGUGGGUAAGAGCAGCAAGAUGCUGCAGCACAUCGACUACAGGAUGAGGUGCAUCCUGCAAGACGGCCGUAUCUUCAUUGGCACCUUUAAAGCUUUUGACAAGCAUAUGAAUUUGAUCCUCUGUGACUGUGACGAGUUCAGAAAGAUCAAGUGUGUAAGGGGGGAGAGCUUGAUUUUCUGGCCUCAUUGCCUAUUUGUAAAGCUGUAGCCUAAAGGGCUCUCCCAAUGCAGCCUGGUCUGAAACUGCUUUAAGAAGCCUCUGACCCUCUUCAGGGUAAGUGCUCAGCUCCCCUUGUGGGUUUGGGGCCAGUGAUUUUUGUUGACAUUUAGAGAAACAAUUGGAAAUAUUUUCUACUUUCCCAUGAUUCCAUAAGUUAUUAGGCAAUUCCCUUGUCUUAGGACUCAAGAUCUUAAGUUUCAAGCCAAUUAAAAGAUGUGGUCUAGUGUUUUAUUCUGUUUUACAUUCAAGGCAUCUUGAGGCCCAAAGAAGUUAGGUGACUUCCAUCCAGCUCUCUUUUGCCAUGUGCAGUGUCCACAGUAUGUCGCCAGUGGCUGUGAAUUCCUUUUGAUUCCUUUGGGACUGUUGUUUUCUUUGUGGCAUGAGGUCAAGAAGCAUAGGACAGAAAAUGUGGUGGGGAUGGCUGAGGGCCAGGUGCACAUUAGGGAGCGGCCAACAGGUCAGUGUAGAGCUAUUUCAUAUGGUUCUCUGCUGUGUUAUCAACUGAAGCUAACUUUAUUCUGAUAAUAAAAAAAGUACCUAUUAGAAAAUAAUUAUUAAAAAUACCUAAAAGUAUUUGAGAAAAUUUAAAAUAUCCAGAAAGUUUUUUCUUUUUAAUCGUGAAAGGGCAGUACAUACUUUCAUUAAAAAAUAAGGAAUAUAGAUAGAUAAGCCGAAAAAGUGACACCCAUAGAAAACCACUGUCAAUUUAUUAUAAAAUAUCAUUAAAAUGAAAAUUUUAAGUUAUUUUUAAAAAUCAGAGUAUUUUGUGUUUCCUUUAUUUUUAGGAAAUUGUCAUUGGCUUUUCUUUUCUUUCCCUAUCUUGUUGCAUUAUUUUUCCCAGUUUAUAUUUAUUUAUAUUUUGUUCAUCCUUUUCCUGGUUGUUGCUGUUUGGAGAUUUCUGUUUUUGUUCUUUGAAGACAAAGGUGUAAUUUCUAUGUAGUUAACUCUUAACCUUUUCUUUUAUGGCUUCUAUAUCUAAUGUGAGGUGAGUGAUGGAGUUCCAGGCCUGUGGGGUUGAAUUGGUACUGGAAGGAUACUGCAUGUAAGUGGAGUGAGUGAGAUGCAGUUGACUUGAGGAAUUGUUUGGGCUCCUCCUGACACUGGGGAACCUUAAGCUGAAGGGCAGGAAAGAGUAAGCAAAGAAAGAGUUUACUGUGGAAAGGCCCUCACAGUGGCUACAAGUGAGCCAGGGCUGGGCUUUCUUGACUUGUCCUGUGUCUUGAUUGGUACAUCUUCUUGGCAUGGGAGACAGUCACCUAAGGGGUUACAAGUUCAGCCAGUGAAGACUGUCCAGAGGAGCCGUCUUAAGGAAAGUUUAUUACCAUCUGUCAGUAGAUAGAGUACAAAACAGAUCUUGGAGGGCUUCUAGGUAGGUGAACAUGAACUUUACCCUUUUUCUAAUGCUUGUUUUUGUUUCUUCUCCUCAACCUGUCUUUAGACCAAAGAACUCAAAACAAGCGGAGAGAGAAGAGAAGCGAGUCCUUGGUCUGGUGCUACUUCGAGGGGAGAACCUGGUCUCAAUGACGGUAGAGGGACCACCUCCCAAAGAUACCGGCAUUGCCCGAGUGCCACUAGCUGGAGCUGCUGGGGGCCCAGGGAUUGGCAGAGCUGCUGGCAGGGGAAUCCCAGCUGGUGUUCCUAUGCCCCAGGCUCCUGCAGGACUUGCCGGGCCGGUCCGUGGGGUUGGUGGGCCAUCCCAACAGGUGAUGACCCCGCAAGGAAGAGGCACUGUUGCAGCAGCUGCAGCUGCUGCCACAGCCAGUAUUGCAGGGGCCCCAACCCAGUACCCACCUGGCCGAGCAGGUCCUCCCCCGCCUAUGGGCCGAGGAGCCCCCCCUCCAGGCAUGAUGGGCCCACCUCCUGGUAUGAGGCCUCCCAUGGGUCCCCCCAUGGGAAUCCCCCCUGGACGAGGAACUCCAAUGGGCAUGCCCCCACCCGGAAUGCGGCCCCCUCCCCCAGGGAUGCGAGGCCUUCUUUGACCUUGGCCACAGAAUUAUGGAAGUAGCUCCACAGAGGCGUGGGCCCGACCCCCCAGGGCCACGUUACCACACCUGUUUGUUUGUUAAGCCGUUGUUCCGCCGGAGUCUCACCGGAUUGUCUGGUUUCCCUUACAGGGCCCCCUCCCCCGGGAAUGCGCCCACCAAGGCCCUAGACUCAUCUUGACCCUCCUCAGCUCCCUGCCUGUUUCCUGUAAGGCUGUACAUAGUCCUUUUACUUCCUUGUGGCCUGUGAAACUAGUUUAUAAUAAACUCUUAAGAGAAUGCAGUGCUAUAAAUGCACCUGGUAUGUUUGUUUAUUUUCAGAAAAAUCUUUGAUAUACCGGGUGCUUAAAUAAGAGGAAGGGUUGCCUUGGAAAAAUGAGCCCUAAUCCUUAGUUGCUUCCCUUGUAAAAUACUAUAUUCUUUUGCAGAGAUGCACAGCUUCAUCAAAGAGAAUUACACAAUUGAACUACAAGGAAAUUCUUUUCACUUGUCAAACUGGCAAAAAUCAUUUUGUUGAAAUAAAACAUUCAUAUCCUAUGG